RNAcentral lists this ribosomal RNA (433 nucleotides) under uncultured bacterium. RNAcentral describes it as "partial 16S ribosomal RNA". It matches the Rfam family "Bacterial small subunit ribosomal RNA", at positions 29 to 507 of the family's 1533-position model. The record is from RNAcentral.
AACGAACGCUGGCGGCAUGCCUAACACAUGCAAGUCGAACGAGACCUUCGGGUCUAGUGUCGCACGGGUGCGUAACGCGUGGGAACCUGCCCUUAGGUUCGGCAUAACUCCCCGACAGGGGUGCUAAUACCGGAUAAUGUCUUCGGCCCAAAGAUUUAUCGCCUUUGGAUGGGCCCGCGUUGGAUUAGCUAGUUGGUAGGGUAAAAGCCUACCAAGGCGACGAUCCAUAGCUGGUCUGAGAGGAUGAUCAGCCACACUGGGACUGAGACACAGCCUAGACUCCUACGGGAGGCAGCAGUGGGGAAUAUUGGACAAUGGGCGAAAGCAUGAUCCAGCAAUGCCGCGUGAGUGAUGAAGGCCUUAGGGUUGUAAAGCUCUUUUACCCGGGAUGAUAAUGACAGUACCGGGAGAAUAAGCUCCGGCUAACUCCGUG